UAGUAUAUACUUCUGAAGUACACAGCAAAACAUUUUUCAAAAGGUAGAUAACAUUUUCUUGCCAGCACCCCUUUAAAAGCACCUCACUUGCACCACUUGCCAAAGUGGGAUGUAAAAUCCCUUGACGUGCAGCCAGAGAGCUAACACAAAACCAACGCCUCUCGCCUGCCCCUUCCCGGCCCAUCGCUGCUGUCUUCCCAUGGUCACCCCAGCUAGGAGCACACGGCAUUUCAGUCAAAGAUAAAAAAACAGCAGCACUGCCCUGCGUGACAGCUGCCUCAGCAGAAAACAGCGCCAGAAGCCGGGGAAAGGAGCGGGCAGCUUACCUACUCAGCUUUCGUGUACAUGAAGAACCAUUCCAUGAAUUUGCCCUUGAAGUGCUCCUGGAUAUCUCAGGCGAGAGAUUCUCCUUAUUUUCUGCUGAAUACCAUUUGAAAGAUGAAGGCUCACCACACAAUCUGUGUCCUGUGGAGUCAAUGUACCGCUGUGUCAGGUCCUUGCACCCAGCUGUGAGACAAAGCUGUUCACACCACUGCCACGUGGAACUCCCAAGCGCACAUCUGAUACACUAUUUUUUACUCUAGUUCUGGUAACAACAUUCAGUUGGCUUUUAUUUCCUUGAGCAAUCUUCUCUUUUCCAGUGUCCUGUGGCCAAGGGGCCCUCUCUAGGUCUUUCAACAUUUGACAUUCUGCUUAAAAUAAUCUGUUUGAUCACUCAACUCCACUCUUUAUCUCCAAGGCAAAAAAGUACCAUUCCUAUUCCCAUACUUCUGUACAGAAGAUUGCUGUGUUACAAGACAUGUGAUGCAUGCUAGCAGUUUAGCUCCUUUAUCCCCUGCUCCAAGACAGAUCUACAAGUGUCAUGCAAACAGUUGAUGCUGCAAGGAGAAACUACUGCCCAGUUUUUCAACUGACAAUAUAAGGAACUUCUUUCACAGUGCUGUCUUGCAGAAAAGAAAAAACAAACCUUAUGAUUCUUUUAGUGUUGGGAAAUGCUGGAUUUUAAACAAGAACUUUGCCAUGUUAUUUAUUUCAUUUUUAGAAAUAGACACUUCCUGAAUCACAAGUUGAGUUUCCUUUAACAACUCUGAACAUUCGUCACUGUGACCUCUUCUCCCAGUGGCUGGUGCAGAAAGUCAUAACAAACAUAACACAUGCUUUUCUUCCAAAAAUAUAGAGCAGAAAUUAUUUUUACAUGGUACAAAAGUUAUUCUCAUUUUAUUUAUGGAGUUGAAUGAAACAAAAACAAACAUCCAUGGCUGUUGUCACACAGUGCAAGCCUCAGUGGUAAGGUAAGAAGACAGGUUGAGGUGUGAGGGUUUAUAAUACAAUGCCAUUGAAACAAACCCAGCAAAUCUUAGAUGCAAGCAGUGAAUCCAAUUUAUUUCUGUAACCUCUGCAACCACACUAACUGAAGUCAGCCGGGCUGCGUGGACAGCAGCAUCAGACACUGGUUUUGGGACAGGUCUGAAUUUUGAGAGCAAUACCAAACAAACAACUGAUUGUGAAGCCACCCAGUGCCCACAUACACCUCACCUGCACACUGAUCCAGUGGCCUCUCCACGCACUGAGCUCCACCUGGAGUUGGCAGAUUGAGCACACAACCACAGCAGGGCUUGGCUCAAACACUGUAAAAUGCUACCGUCGGCACUGUGUACUUAGGACCUGGAAGAGCAAUGUCCAUUAAUUCUUCUACUGAGACACAGAAAAAUUGACUAAAAAAUUCAUAAGGCACCAUUGAUUCAACCUGUUUUGUAUUAUUCUUUUUUAACACUUAAUAGUGAAACAAAUACUUUAAUACUGAUCAUAUUGUAAAUAGCUACUGCUACAUGAAGCAAUAUAUUGAAUGAUAAAAUGCUGCGUUGUUCUGGAAUAUAUCUAGGGACUUUUACAGCAAAACAUAUAAGUGGAAAUGCUGUUGUUAUGUGAGAAAAAAUGCUCCUUUCUGCAGUAUUAAGCUAUUUUACAUGUACGCCAAACAUCUAUUCUGAAGAGUUUUCUAGAGUAAAAAAUAAUUUCUAAAACCUAAGCAGCUCAGGAUUCUUGGCUUGUUAACCUGGGGCCUUUUACAUAGCACAUUUUAAAGUGAAACUGAAGCUGGUUUUCCAAGUCUUUGGUAGUGGUCCAGAUUUCUGGUCAAAAAACCUUGCUGAAACAAUCAAAUACAGGAUAUUUUGAAUUAUACAGAGUAUUGGAAGAACACUGGGCAGCAUUUUCAUUGACUUACCAAAGUAAAACAGUUAUGUUGGAAGCAGGUAAGUUAUAAAAAAUAUCAUUUCUGGAGGGCUGGGUUUUUUUUUUGGCUACAUAGCUAUUUGGAUAUUAACAAAGAUUUGGCAAGUCAAGGUACUGAAAAUACUGUAUUCUUAAAUUCAAACUAUUGUUCCUUAGAAAAGUAUUAAGUGCUUCUGUUUUAAAAUAUGAACACAAUAAUUUAUCCUUUAAGUUAUUAGCCUAAAAAUCUUAUUUGGACUUCUAUUCACAAAAUAAUAUCCCAAAGAGACAGGCACUUUAAGUGACAUCCAUAAAAUACAUAUACAAAUUCAGCAUUGUGCCAGGUUUGAUCCCAAGGUGCACCUGUCACACAGAGGUCCCACCAGGAUCUGUUUAAGGAACUCUUACAGCCACGAUCCUGCAACUGGAUGCAGCUACAUCCCUGCGCCUGCGCAUUUCAUUGCAGGUUCACAACCAUGAACAGGAACUACAAAUAGGUCACUAGAUACAAAAAUGUAAAAAACAUGCUGUAAAAAUGCUGUCACAGCUAACAAGAUUUUGUAAACAAACACUGAAAAGACCAAAUUAAAUUUGAUCUGGCUAAAUCCAACUCUAGUCUCAUCUCCUUCAAUGUGAUUGCCAGGCAGAGAGCGGAUCUGCCCCUCCCUGCUCACAGACAGAGCAAAAAGCCCUAUUCACAGACAUUUCAGCAGGGUCCAGACUCUCUUUGGCUAAAUUCCCUAGAUUUUCAAGGACUGACCUCAUUCUAGCCACAGAGUGUACUUAGGAUAUCUCCCAUGCUAGAGAAACAUUUUCUUAACCUACAUGACUAGUUUCUAUGUUUUAUUUUGGGUUUUUUUGAGCAACACCCUGUGAAGCACAGCUGCUGACACAGGCUUGGUAGAGAUCCCAAGGAAAACACUGAAGAAACAUACUGCUAAUGAGACUGAGAGGAUAUUUUUCAGAGGUCCGAUUAAUAAAGAGCUAUCAUUGACCA
RNAcentral lists this long non-coding RNA (3211 nucleotides) under Junco hyemalis (dark-eyed junco). Its description in RNAcentral is "lncRNA (ENSJHYG00000012757.1)". Lineage: Eukaryota; Metazoa; Chordata; Aves; Passeriformes; Passerellidae. The record is from RNAcentral.